AGUGAACGCUGGCGGUAGGCCUAACACAUGCAAGUCGAACGGCAGCACAGUAAGAGCUUGCUCUUACGGGUGGCGAGUGGCGGGCGGGUGAGGAAUACAUCGGAAUCUACUUUUGCGUGGGGGAUAACGUAGGGAAACUUACUCUAAUACCGCAUACGACCUACGGCUGAAAGCAGGAGAUCUUGGGACCUUGCGCGAUUGAAUGAGCCGAUGUCGGAUUAGCUAGUUUGGGGGGUAAAGGCCCACCAAGGCGACGAUCCGUAGCUGGUCUGAGAGGAUGAUCAGCCACACUGGAACUGAGACACGGUCCAGACUCCUACGGGAGGCAGCAGUGGGGAAUAUUGGACAAUGGGCGCAAGCCUGAUCCAGCCAUACCGCGUGUGUGAAGAAGGCCUUCGGGUUGUAAAGCCCUUUUGUUGGGAAAGAAAAGCAGCAGGUUAAUACCCCGCUGUUCUGACGGUACCCAAAGAAUAAGCACCGGCUAACUUCGUG
RNAcentral lists this ribosomal RNA (492 nucleotides) under uncultured bacterium. RNAcentral describes it as "partial 16S ribosomal RNA". It matches the Rfam family "Bacterial small subunit ribosomal RNA", at positions 29 to 507 of the family's 1533-position model. The record is from RNAcentral.